This 883-nucleotide long non-coding RNA is filed under the name Marmota monax (woodchuck). Lineage: Eukaryota; Metazoa; Chordata; Mammalia; Rodentia; Sciuridae. The record is from RNAcentral.
AGGACACCCACCCCAGUGACCUGCAGGUUCCCAGACAGCCUCCCCGCGGGAACCUCCCCGGGCGCCUGCCCCCUCCAGGGUUGCCCUUGGGCCCCAGGCCAGGUGGGCCUGGCGAGACCCGCCGAGGGCAGGAGCCCUCCCAGGCCAAGAUGUGUCCAGUGCAGUGAGCCAAGCACAGACGCCGCUGGGGCCCUUGCCGAGGGGCUGAGAGGAAGCAGCUCCCUGCUCUGUCUCCUGCAGAAUCCACCCUCGAUUAACCCUUAUCUCCCCAGCAGGCCCUAUCUCUGCCUUGGCGCCGAGCGUCCAGACACACCAUGCAGGAUGAUUGAUUUCUGAGAGAUACGCCCGCCUUUCCGAUACUUCGUUUAUUGUCUAAAUAUUUUUGCUAACGUUUCGGCGGCCCCUUAUCGUACUGUGCUGAUGGGUCCCAGCUCUCUCCCCCGGGCCUCCCUAGGAAGACAUUGCCUCUGCCCCAGAUUGUCCUAUCAGCCGCCGGGCACUUGUCUUCUCUCUCUGGAGAGGGAGGAGGAGCGGGCACGGAGGGGAUAGGACGACCCUCUCCCCCUGGACUCAGGCUGGAGUUAGGGCUGCUCACAGCAGGCAGGAGUUGGGGGAGGCUCCCCUCGCAGUGCCUGGCACCCAACAUUCCCAUCCUGGCACCCAGGAAGGAGACAGUGCCUUGAGGGGGACGGGGGGGUCUACCUUGCUGUCCCUUCCUUGAGCCAGCUGAGGUUUCUACCACUGCAAAACCAGGCACUGGAGAAGAGGACCCAGGGGCCCAGCCAGCUCCAGACUUCAUGUUCACAUAUAGAAGGAACACUUGUGAUGGAUGGAUGGGGAUGGAUGGAUGGAUGGAUGGAUGGUGGGUGGGUAGAUGGCGGAU